AGAGAAUAAAUUAGUAAAUACUUUAUGAAGAGGAAUUUCGUAUCUUGGAGAGAUAGAUGGAAAAGGACUACACUAUGUGCUUACAUCACGUGGUACAACAAUUGUGGAAUACAACAUUUCCACUUUAAAGAUUCUAAUGCUAAGUACUUUGAUACUAGCCUAUUGGAGCAACUAAAUCAGGAAAAUGGAAUGAAAUCCUUGUUCUCUUCCCCAUCCUUCUGGGAAAAUGCUCCUCAUAAGACUCCAAAUUUUUGAUAGCCUUGGACACCAAGGAAGCUCCUGCACUUGACAUGAAAAUGGGGUUAGAAAGAGGACACAGAAGUAAAGGGGAAGGAGACACAAGUUCAAAAGAGAAAGAGUAGAGUUCCCAUUUAUCGAGGCUCAAAGAGCCGGCCAAGAGAGGGAAUCUAUUUCCCCAAGUAGGUAACAACAUUUGGAUUAACACAUAGUAGAGAGAGAGCUGGCAGCCCCAAAAUAGGAGGCUUUGUCCCCAAGUUUCAGUCACAAACAGCCAAGAACUGAGGCUAUAUAAGCAGCCCCCUCACCACCUCCUUCCACCACUUUUUCGGCACCCAAGUUUCACAUUGCAUAAAGAGAGCAGCAAGGAGGAGGAGCAAGGAGUGAGGGCGGGCAAGAAUCGACACAAGCAGUAGCCAUAACCGAGAGAGUCAGGAAAAGGACUUAGCUUGUGUAGGAGAAACGCCGAGAAGGAGCGGCUCGUUGCUGAAUCCGAGGAAGAGCCGUGAGGGCAGGGGCGUGGUUAAACGGCGGCGCGCCUUGAGUCUCGCCCGAACAGCACCAACAGAAGAAGCCUUGCGAAGCAGCGACCGCCUCCGCUGGACUCCUGCAGCGGUGCUACGAACACCGGAGAAGAGCGGCGUGUGAGAAAGCCGUGGAAGAAGGGGCGGGAGUCGCCGGGCGCGCCUGCCGAUCUGGAAAGGAAAAAAGGCCACUCCGAGCGUGAAUUCGCCGGGAGGGAGAGAGACAGAAGAGAGGGAACGAUGGGUGCAGUAUAUAAUGGAGGUGGAUCUGCUGUGGUGGGAACACAGCAGGGGCUGCUGUGGAGCAAUACGCCGUUGUUUUGAUUCAAUUACUUAAGCUUUUUCUUUGCAAAUUGCAAUAAGUCUACUUGAUGGCAUGCGGUAGUAUUACUGAUAUAUUUGAUCAAUGAUUUGGUCAUUUAACUAAUAUUUGCACUAAUCUAUUAUCAGCACCUCCAUACAGCUACUAAUGAAAUCAGACUAUUUAAUAA
Salvia splendens (bonfire salvia) is the source of this 1252-nucleotide long non-coding RNA. RefSeq lists it as uncharacterized. The transcript has 2 exons. The record is from RefSeq and is a predicted model, not a curated record. Lineage: Eukaryota; Viridiplantae; Streptophyta; Magnoliopsida; Lamiales; Lamiaceae.